RNAcentral lists this ribosomal RNA (239 nucleotides) under uncultured bacterium. Its description in RNAcentral is "partial 16S ribosomal RNA". It matches the Rfam family "Bacterial small subunit ribosomal RNA", at positions 15 to 263 of the family's 1533-position model. The record is from RNAcentral.
GAUCCUGGCUCAGGAUGAACGCUGGCGGCGUGUCUAACACAUGCAAGUCGAGCGAUUCUCUUCGGAGAAGAGCGGCGGACGGGUGAGUAACGCGUGGGUAACCUGCCCUAUACACACGGAUAACAUACCGAAAGGUAUGCUAAUACGAGAUAACAUAAGAGAUUCGCAUGGAUUUCUUAUCAAAGCUUUUGCGGUAUAGGAUGGACCCGCGUCUGAUUAGCUAGUUGGUGAGGUAACAG